RNAcentral lists this ribosomal RNA (604 nucleotides) under Microbacterium sp. CMT3. RNAcentral describes it as "bacterial SSU rRNA". It matches the Rfam family "Bacterial small subunit ribosomal RNA", at positions 271 to 884 of the family's 1533-position model. The record is from RNAcentral. Lineage: Bacteria; Bacillati; Actinomycetota; Actinomycetes; Micrococcales; Microbacteriaceae.
AGGCGUCGACGGGUAGCCGGCCUGAGAGGGUGACCGGCCACACUGGGACUGAGACACGGCYUAGACUCCUACGGGAGGCAGCAGUGGGGAAUAUUGCACAAUGGGCGAAARCCUGAUGCAGCAACGCCGCGUGAGGGAUGACGGCCUUCGGGUUGUAAACCUCUUUUAGCAGGGAAGAAGCGAGAGUGACGGUACCUGCAGAAAAAGCGCCGGCUAACUACGUGCCAGCAGCCGCGGUAAUACGUAGGGCGCAAGCGUUAUCCGGAAUUAUUGGGCGUAAAGAGCUCGUAGGCGGUUUGUCGCGUCUGCUGUGAAAACUGGAGGCUCAACCUCCAGCCUGCAGUGGGUACGGGCAGACUAGAGUGCGGUAGGGGAGAUUGGAAUUCCUGGUGUAGCGGUGGAAUGCGCAGAUAUCAGGAGGAACACCGAUGGCGAAGGCAGAUCUCUGGGCCGUAACUGACGCUGAGGAGCGAAAGGGUGGGGAGCGAACAGGCUUAGAUACCCUGGUAGUCCACCCCGUAAACGUUGGGAACUAGUUGUGGGGGCCUUUCCACGGUCUCCGUGACGCAGCUAACGCAUUAAGUUCCCCGCCUGGGARAGUACG